AGUGAUGGUUAGGACUUAGGAGA
RNAcentral lists this small nuclear RNA (23 nucleotides) under Arabidopsis thaliana (thale cress). Its description in RNAcentral is "snRNA_06594". Lineage: Eukaryota; Viridiplantae; Streptophyta; Magnoliopsida; Brassicales; Brassicaceae. The record is from RNAcentral.